UAAGGUGAUUAUAGCAAUAGGGUUCCACCUCUUCCCAUUCCGAACAGAGAAGUUAAGCCUAUUAACGCCGAUGGUACUACGCAAGUGGG
RNAcentral lists this ribosomal RNA (89 nucleotides) under Candidatus Scalindua sp. The record is from RNAcentral. Lineage: Bacteria; Pseudomonadati; Planctomycetota; Candidatus Brocadiia; Candidatus Brocadiales; Candidatus Scalinduaceae.